RNAcentral lists this ribosomal RNA (300 nucleotides) under uncultured bacterium. RNAcentral's name for it is "partial 16S ribosomal RNA". It matches the Rfam family "Bacterial small subunit ribosomal RNA", at positions 125 to 399 of the family's 1533-position model. The record is from RNAcentral.
AAAAAAAAAAAGUGGGGGAUAGCACGUCGAAAUCCGGAUUAAUACCGCCUACGACCUGAGGGUGAAAGCGGGUGAACGAAAGGCCUCGCGCUAUUUGAGCGGCCGAUGUCGGAUUAGCUAGUUGGUGGGGUAAAGGCUUACCAAUUUCACGAUUCGGAGCUGGUCUGAGAGGACGACUAGCCAGACAGGGACGGAGACAAGGCCAAGACUCCUACGGGAAGCAGCAGUGGGGAAUUUGGGACAAUGGGGGCAACGCUGAUCCAGCCAUGACGAUUUUUUUUAUAAUGCUGCGGCGUCCAA